AACGAACGCUGGCGGCAUGCCUAACACAUGCAAGUCGAACGAGACCUUCGGGUCUAGUGGCGCACGGGUGCGUAACGCGUGGGAACCUGCCUUUAGGUUCGGAAUAACUCAGAGAAAUUUGAGCUAAUACCGGAUAAUGUCUUCGGACCAAAGAUUUAUCGCCUUUAGAUGGGCCCGCGUUGGAUUAGCUAGUUGGUGGGUAAAGGCCUACCAAGGCGACGAUCCAUAGCUGGUCUGAGAGGAUGAUCAGCCACACUGGGACUGAGACACGGCCCAGACUCCUACGGGAGGCAGCAGUGGGGAAUAUUGGACAAUGGGCGAAAGCCUGAUCCAGCAAUGCCGCGUGAGUGAUGAAGGCCUUAGGGUUGUAAAGCUCUUUUGCCCGGGAUGAUAAUGACAGUACCGGGAGAAUAAGCUCCGGCUAACUCCGUGCCAGCAGCCGCGGUAAUGUAGAC
Molecule: ribosomal RNA, 455 nt
Filed under: uncultured bacterium
Lineage: Bacteria
Description: bacterial SSU rRNA
Rfam family: Bacterial small subunit ribosomal RNA
Source: RNAcentral